GCCCUCUUGGCUUAGUGGUAAAGCGUAUCACUAGUAUUGAUUGCUAUGAUAAGAUCGCUCGUUCGAUUCGGGCAGAGGGCA
This 81-nucleotide transfer RNA is filed under the name Phaeosphaeria sp. MPI-PUGE-AT-0046c. It matches the Rfam family "tRNA". From Rfam's summary of the family: Transfer RNA (tRNA) molecules are approximately 80 nucleotides in length. Their secondary structure includes four short double-helical elements and three loops (D, anti-codon, and T loops). The record is from Rfam by way of RNAcentral. Lineage: Eukaryota; Fungi; Ascomycota; Dothideomycetes; Pleosporales; Phaeosphaeriaceae.